AACAUACUGAUUACGAAUGUUAACUGACACGGGUGAAACUUGCUUACUGCUUAUGAAAUGUUUGUCCACUCACUUAAUAUUUUGGCGGGCGUUUUGAGUUUUACCACAUGUAUUUGACUCAGUAAAGAGUUAAGUGAGCGUUAGUCAGUUUGGUUUGCAUUGUCCCUUUCGGACGAUAACGUGAGCUGUUGUAACUUAAAGUAUGAUGUUUAACUUUGUGUUUCUGGUUGCUUCAGGAUGUAAACCAACAGCUUUGUCAAAGUAAAGUGAAGUUAAACUGACGAGCGUCUGGAGUUGUGCACCACAUGAUGCAAACCAACAACGUUGUCAGAGUAAAGUUCAAAGGCAGCAAGAAAUAACGUUAUAUUUUCUCUUCACAACCAUUUCACACAUUUUUUGAAUGUGUUGUCUAAAAGUUUAAUCUUCCUACAAUGAAUGUCUUUGAUGACUUAAAGACAGAGGUUGAUGAGGAAUAAUAUCUGCUGACAUGACCAGACUUUGGUGUCCUAGAAAUCUUCAUCCCAGAAAGCACAACAAGCCUUGAUGAUUAUUUAUCUAAUACUGAGGGCACGUCAGAGUCUGAUGGGACCGCAGUGUUGAUUAGAAAUCCUCCUGAAAAAAAUCAAGCCGAGGAACGUCAUCUAGUCCAGAUGAUCGAAAACAUCCUAAAGGGCAGCCCUGGAGGCGAGAAGGUCAUAAAGGAAUACACUCACACAAAGUCUUUCGGAUGGCCAAAGAUGUGACAUGGUGAAAAUCUUGCUAGCACAUUUAACAAAGGAACAUGGAUCUUGCCCUUACCGAAGUUUGAAGGAAGAAUGUGCAAAGGGUAUUAUCUCCAUGUUCCCAUGCUUUGCUGACCCCAGGAGCAAGCUUAGUUAUGAGCAUUAUUACAAUGCAGAAGAUGGAAGUGGAUAUUUGGUGUGGAGAAUUAAAAAACUUUCCAAAAAGAAGCAUCAGAGGGACGGAUAAAACGCCCACGCAACCACAAACAGGUGCAUAAUUUGCAGAUUGAUCAAGAUUUUGGACUUCUAUUUGGUGAGGCGACCGCUGCAAAGUUGUUGGAGAAGUGGUCUACCAACAUAAAACCAAAGGUUAUUGCACAGACCCUUGGCCUCACACAGACUUGUAAGCAUCCAAAAUGCUGAAGCCACUGAAGUUGAAGAUGGUAACUAUUGUGCUAUACAAGUUAUGAAUUCAUGAAGAAUGGCUUUAGAUCUAUAGUUUCAAUUGUAGUCACAAUGUUACCCAUCAGACAUGCAUCAUUCAUAUGCAGCACAGAUUUAAGUAAAUAAUCAGAAUAAAAAUGACCGGUUUCUCUUAACAUUUCUAACUUGACCUUAGUGAUAUUGAAAUGAGGUCAUACAGUUAAACUUUAUUUACAACAUAUAAUCCAUGCUUUUGUUAUUUAG
Non-coding RNA from Paramisgurnus dabryanus, 1409 nucleotides. NCBI's taxonomy places the organism in Eukaryota, Metazoa, Chordata, Actinopteri, Cypriniformes, Cobitidae. The record is from RefSeq and is a predicted model, not a curated record.